RNAcentral lists this ribosomal RNA (466 nucleotides) under uncultured bacterium. RNAcentral's name for it is "bacterial SSU rRNA". It matches the Rfam family "Bacterial small subunit ribosomal RNA", at positions 28 to 507 of the family's 1533-position model. The record is from RNAcentral.
GACGAACGCUGGCGGCGCGCCCCCUUCAUGCAAGUCGAACGAGCGAGAGAGAGCUUGCUUUCUCGAGCGAGUGGCGAACGGGUGAGUAACGCGUGAGGACCCUGCCUCAAAGAGGGGGACAACAGUUGGAAACGACUGCUAAUACCGCAUAAGCCCACAGGUCGGCAUCGACCAGAGGGAAAAGGAGCAAUCCGCUUUGAGAUGGCCUCGCGUCCGAUUAGCUAGUUGGUGAGGUAACGGCCCACCAAGGCAACGAUCGGUAGCCGGACUGAGAGGUUGAACGGCCACAUUGGGACUGAGACACGGCCCAAACUCCUACGGGAGGCAGCAGUGGGGAAUAUUGCACAAUGGGGGAAACCCUGAUGCAGCGACCCCGCGGGGAGGAAGAAGGUCUUCGGAUUGUAAACUCCUGUUGUUGAGGAAGAUAAUGACGGUACUCAACAAGGAAGUGACGGCUAACUACGUG